GGCUCUGUAUCCCAACUGGUAGAGGACGUUGGCUUAGACCCAACGAAGUGUCGGUUCGAAUCCGACCAGAGUCA
RNAcentral lists this transfer RNA (74 nucleotides) under Nocardioides abyssi. RNAcentral's name for it is "tRNA-Leu". It matches the Rfam family "tRNA". Rfam says of the family: Transfer RNA (tRNA) molecules are approximately 80 nucleotides in length. Their secondary structure includes four short double-helical elements and three loops (D, anti-codon, and T loops). Further hydrogen bonds mediate the characteristic L-shaped molecular structure. tRNAs have two regions of fundamental functional importance: the anti-codon, which is responsible for specific mRNA codon recognition, and the 3' end, to which the tRNAs corresponding amino acid is attached (by aminoacyl-tRNA synthetases). tRNAs cope with the degeneracy of the genetic code in two manners: having more than one tRNA (with a specific anti-codon) for a particular amino acid; and 'wobble' base-pairing, i.e. permitting non-standard base-pairing at the 3rd anti-codon position. The record is from RNAcentral. Lineage: Bacteria; Bacillati; Actinomycetota; Actinomycetes; Propionibacteriales; Nocardioidaceae.